UCGCUUCCGCAGCACAUACACUAACAUUGGAACAGAACAGAGAAGACUGGCAUGGCCCCUGCGCAAGGAGGACACACAAAUUCCCGACGUGUUCCACACUUUU
This is a small nuclear RNA of Dipodomys spectabilis (banner-tailed kangaroo rat), 103 nucleotides long. The record is from RefSeq and is a predicted model, not a curated record. NCBI's taxonomy places the organism in Eukaryota, Metazoa, Chordata, Mammalia, Rodentia, Heteromyidae.